GGAACGUGGUUCACUUGUUCUGACCCUUGUAGAGUUUGCUACUGGAUCUCUAGAGCACGCCUCAUUCAACUAGAACAGGCUGCCUAUCACAGCCCCACACAUGUUCUCAGGGGGAAAAAGGUGUUUUUGAACAAGUGAAGCUUUGGAGCUAUGCUACAACUGAGGAGCCAAGAAUGUGGGAUCUGUGAUCUAGUUGACUAGGCAGCACAAGAACCAUAAACAGGUUACAAAUGUAAGAAAGAGGAAAAAAUGGAGAGAGGAGAGAAGGAAAAGUGGGAGGGAAAAAGAAGACUGAAGGAGAGUAACUUAUUCUUUGUCUCGGAAUUUUAUAGUAAUUGAUUUUCUUUAUUGUUUUUGAAAAUUAUUUCAUUUUUUUCUGCUAGAAUAUCAACUAGUCAGGAUGAAAUGUGUAUCAGGUUUCUCAACUUCCUGUUCUGAGACAAGUGUUGAAUAAACACAUGUAUAAAUACAUAGACUUAAAAUGAGC
Molecule: long non-coding RNA, 487 nt
Filed under: Mus pahari (shrew mouse)
Lineage: Eukaryota; Metazoa; Chordata; Mammalia; Rodentia; Muridae
Description: lncRNA (MGP_PahariEiJ_G0005266.1)
Source: RNAcentral